RNAcentral lists this ribosomal RNA (373 nucleotides) under uncultured Gammaproteobacteria bacterium. RNAcentral describes it as "bacterial SSU rRNA". It matches the Rfam family "Bacterial small subunit ribosomal RNA", at positions 521 to 896 of the family's 1533-position model. Lineage: Bacteria; Pseudomonadati; Pseudomonadota; Gammaproteobacteria. The record is from RNAcentral.
UAAUACGGAGGGUCCAAGCGUUAAUCGGAAUUACUGGGCGUAAAGCGCGCGUAGGCGGUUUAGCAAGUUGUAUGUGAAAGCCCUGGGCUCAACCUAGGAACUGCAUUCAAAACUUUUAAACUGGAGUACGGGAGAGGAGAGUAGAAUUCAUGGUGUAGCGGUGAAAUGCGUAGAUAUCAUGAGGAAUACCAAUGGCGAAGGCAACUCUCUGGACCGUAACUGACGCUGAGGUGCGAAAGCGUGGGUAGCAAACAGGAUUAGAUACCCUGGUAGUCCACGCCGUAAACGAUGACAACUAGCCGUUGGACUUUCGGGUUCAGUGGCACAGCUAACGCAUUAAGUUGUCCGCCUGGGGAGUACGGCCGCAAGGCUA